RNAcentral lists this transfer RNA (78 nucleotides) under Xanthomonas citri pv. citri. Its description in RNAcentral is "tRNA-Arg". It matches the Rfam family "tRNA". From Rfam's summary of the family: Transfer RNA (tRNA) molecules are approximately 80 nucleotides in length. Their secondary structure includes four short double-helical elements and three loops (D, anti-codon, and T loops). Further hydrogen bonds mediate the characteristic L-shaped molecular structure. tRNAs have two regions of fundamental functional importance: the anti-codon, which is responsible for specific mRNA codon recognition, and the 3' end, to which the tRNAs corresponding amino acid is attached (by aminoacyl-tRNA synthetases). tRNAs cope with the degeneracy of the genetic code in two manners: having more than one tRNA (with a specific anti-codon) for a particular amino acid; and 'wobble' base-pairing, i.e. permitting non-standard base-pairing at the 3rd anti-codon position. The record is from RNAcentral. Lineage: Bacteria; Pseudomonadati; Pseudomonadota; Gammaproteobacteria; Lysobacterales; Lysobacteraceae.
GGCCCCGUAGCUCAGCUGGAUAGAGCGUCCCCCCUCCUAAGGGGAAGGUCGCCCGUUCGAAUCGGGCCGGGGUCACCA